This 253-nucleotide unclassified non-coding RNA is filed under the name uncultured Verrucomicrobiota bacterium. RNAcentral describes it as "uncultured Verrucomicrobia bacterium contains 16S-23S intergenic spacer region". It matches the Rfam family "Bacterial small subunit ribosomal RNA", at positions 524 to 776 of the family's 1533-position model. Lineage: Bacteria; Pseudomonadati; Verrucomicrobiota. The record is from RNAcentral.
CACGGAAGCCCCAAGCGUUGUUCGGAUUCAUUGGGCGUAAAGGGUGCGUAGGCGGCGCGGAAAGUCUGGUGUGAAAGGCAGGGGCUCAACCCCUGGACUGCACUGGAUACUUCCGUGCUCGAGGACUGGAGGGGAGACUGGAAUUCACGGUGUAGCAGUGAAAUGCGUAGAUAUCGUGAGGAAGACCGGUGGCGAAGGCGAGUCUCUGGACAGUACCUGACGCUGAGGCACGAAGGCUGGGGGAGCGAACAGG